UACGGAGGGUGCAAGCGUUAUCCGGAUUCACUGGGUUUAAAGGGUGCGUAGGUGGGCAGUUAAGUCAGUGGUGAAAUCUCCGGGCUUAACCCGGAAACUGCCAUUGAUACUAUCUGUCUUGAAUAUCGUGGAGGUAAGCGGAAUAUGUCAUGUAGCGGUGAAAUGCUUAGAUAUGACAUAGAACACCAAUUGCGAAAGGCAGCUUACUACCCGAAUAUUGACACUGAGGCACGAAAAGCGUGGGGGGAUCAAAACAGG
Molecule: ribosomal RNA, 258 nt
Filed under: uncultured bacterium
Lineage: Bacteria
Description: partial 16S ribosomal RNA
Rfam family: Bacterial small subunit ribosomal RNA
Source: RNAcentral